Molecule: ribosomal RNA, 497 nt
Filed under: uncultured bacterium
Lineage: Bacteria
Description: partial 16S ribosomal RNA
Rfam family: Bacterial small subunit ribosomal RNA
Source: RNAcentral
GAUGAACGCUGGCGGCGUGCCUAAUACAUGCAAGCCGAGCGAACGGACGAGAAGCUUGCUUUUCUGAUGUUAGCGGCGGACGGGUGAGUAACACGUGGAUAACCUACCUAUAAGACUGGGAUAACUUCGGGAAACCGGAGCUAAUACCGGAUAAUAUUUUGAACCGCAUGGUUCAAAAGUGAAAGACGGUCCUGCUGUCACUUAUAGAUGGAUCCGCGCUGCAUUAGCUAGUUGGUAAGGUAACGGCUUACCAAGGCAACGAUGCAUAGCCGACCUGAGAGGGUGAUCGGCCACACUGGAACUGAGACACGGUCCAGACUCCUACGGGAGGCAGCAGUAGGGAAUCUUCCGCAAUGGGCGAAAGCCUGACGGAGCAACGCCGCGUGAGUGAUGAAGGUCUUCGGAUCGUAAAACUCUGUUAUUAGGGAAGAACAUAUGUGUAAGUAACUGUGCACAUCUUGACGGUACCUAAUCAGAAAGCCACGGCUAACUACGUG